RNAcentral lists this transfer RNA (87 nucleotides) under Sedimenticola thiotaurini. RNAcentral's name for it is "tRNA-Leu". It matches the Rfam family "tRNA". From Rfam's summary of the family: Transfer RNA (tRNA) molecules are approximately 80 nucleotides in length. Their secondary structure includes four short double-helical elements and three loops (D, anti-codon, and T loops). Further hydrogen bonds mediate the characteristic L-shaped molecular structure. tRNAs have two regions of fundamental functional importance: the anti-codon, which is responsible for specific mRNA codon recognition, and the 3' end, to which the tRNAs corresponding amino acid is attached (by aminoacyl-tRNA synthetases). tRNAs cope with the degeneracy of the genetic code in two manners: having more than one tRNA (with a specific anti-codon) for a particular amino acid; and 'wobble' base-pairing, i.e. permitting non-standard base-pairing at the 3rd anti-codon position. The record is from RNAcentral. Lineage: Bacteria; Pseudomonadati; Pseudomonadota; Gammaproteobacteria; Chromatiales; Sedimenticolaceae.
GCCGGAGUGGCGAAAUUGGUAAACGCAGUGGAUUCAAAAUCCACCGGCUUCGCGGCCUUGCCGGUUCGAGUCCGGCCUCCGGUACCA